RNAcentral lists this ribosomal RNA (253 nucleotides) under uncultured bacterium. RNAcentral describes it as "partial 16S ribosomal RNA". It matches the Rfam family "Bacterial small subunit ribosomal RNA", at positions 524 to 776 of the family's 1533-position model. The record is from RNAcentral.
GACGAAGGGGGCUAGCGUUGUUCGGAAUUACUGGGCGUAAAGGGCGCGUAGGCGGUUUGUUAAGUCAGGCGUGAAAGCCCUGGGCUCAACCUGGGAGGUGCGUUUGAUACUGGCAAGCUUGAGUGCAGGAGAGGAUGGUGGAAUUCCCAGUGUAGAGGUGAAAUUCGUAGAUAUUGGGAAGAACACCGGUGGCGAAGGCGGCCAUCUGGACUGCAACUGACGCUGAGGCGCGAAAGCGUGGGGAGCAAACAGG